AUUUAUAUAGUUUAUAAUAAAACGGUAUAUUUUCAUUAUACAGAAAAUGUUUUAAUAUUUAUAAAUA
This 67-nucleotide transfer RNA is filed under the name Teleogryllus emma (emma field cricket). RNAcentral describes it as "tRNA-Glu". Lineage: Eukaryota; Metazoa; Arthropoda; Insecta; Orthoptera; Gryllidae. The record is from RNAcentral.